GACAUCACAUCCGGUAAUAUUUCCUUUGGAAACGCAUGCCUUCCCUUCUCCAACGUGUGGAGUCAUCACUGCCGGUUCAAAUGAAGAGCAACAAGUUGGUGCAGAGAAGAAUGUCCCAUAGGAGAAGUGUGGUGCUACUGCGACUGUCAUUGAGUUUAAGAAUGGAUACUCAGUGUGGGAGAAAGAAAUCACAAUGGUUC
This is a long non-coding RNA of Clupea harengus (Atlantic herring), 200 nucleotides long. RefSeq lists it as uncharacterized. Lineage: Eukaryota; Metazoa; Chordata; Actinopteri; Clupeiformes; Clupeidae. The transcript is spliced from 2 exons. The record is from RefSeq and is a predicted model, not a curated record.